Molecule: ribosomal RNA, 491 nt
Filed under: uncultured bacterium
Lineage: Bacteria
Description: partial 16S ribosomal RNA
Rfam family: Bacterial small subunit ribosomal RNA
Source: RNAcentral
GAUGAACGCUGGCUACAGGCUUAACACAUGCAAGUCGAGGGGAAACGACGGGGAAGCUUGCUUCCCCGGGCGUCGACCGGCGCACGGGUGAGUAACGCGUAUCCAACCUGCCUCUGACUGAGGGAUAACCCGUCGAAAGUCGGCCUAAUACCUCAUGGUAUCGUCUGCGGGCAUCCAACGACGAUUAAAGAUUUCAUCGGUCAGGGAUGGGGAUGCGUCUGAUUAGCUUGUUGGCGGGGUAACGGCCCACCAAGGCUACGAUCAGUAGGGGUUCUGAGAGGAAGGUCCCCCACAUUGGAACUGAGACACGGUCCAAACUCCUACGGGAGGCAGCAGUGAGGAAUAUUGGGCAAUGGGCGAGAGCCUGAACCAGCCAAGUAGCGUGCAGGAAGACGGCCCUAUGGGUUGUAAACUGCUUUUAUGCGGGGAUAAAGUGAGGGACGGGUCCCUCAUUGCAGGUACCGCAUGAAUAAGGACCGGCUAAUUCUGUG